This is a long non-coding RNA of Copidosoma floridanum, 101 nucleotides long. Lineage: Eukaryota; Metazoa; Arthropoda; Insecta; Hymenoptera; Encyrtidae. The record is from RefSeq and is a predicted model, not a curated record.
CCAUGCCCGAAACACAGUGCAAAGAACACCACAUAUCAGAAAACAAAAUGAUUUUGAGACUCAAGAACUUGAAGAAAUUUCAAGCAGUAAAAGAAAAAGAC